UACGGGAGGUGCAAAGCGUUACUCGGAAUCAUUGGGCGUAAAGCGCACGUAGGCGGUUCGUUAUGUCGGAUGUGAAAGCCCUUGGCUUAACCGAGGAAGUGCAUCCGAAACUGGCGAGCUAGAGUACGAAAGAGGAUCGCGGAAUUCCCGGUGUAGAGGUGAAAUUCGUAGAUAUCGGGAGGAACACCGGUGGCGAAGGCGGCGAUCUGGGUCGAUACUGACGCUGAGGUGCGAAAGCGUGGGGAGGCAAACAGG
This 255-nucleotide ribosomal RNA is filed under the name uncultured bacterium. Its description in RNAcentral is "partial 16S ribosomal RNA". It matches the Rfam family "Bacterial small subunit ribosomal RNA", at positions 524 to 776 of the family's 1533-position model. The record is from RNAcentral.